This 1734-nucleotide ribosomal RNA is filed under the name Triticum aestivum (bread wheat). RNAcentral describes it as "partial small subunit ribosomal RNA". Lineage: Eukaryota; Viridiplantae; Streptophyta; Magnoliopsida; Poales; Poaceae. The record is from RNAcentral.
AUGCCAAGGCUAGGUGACCCGCACUCCAGGCCGGCCAUGGGGCGGGUGGUCGCGCCGACCACGCCUGAGAUGGAGGUGCAAGCUGCCGCCCUCACCACCAACUGCGUCCUCAUCACUCUGGGAGGUGACCGCCGUCCAGCUCCAACUUCAUCCGUCGCCGAGGCGCUGCACAAGGAGUUCAACAUCCCGCUGUCCAUGGUCACUGUCGUUCGACACUUCCCCGAGGACUACCUUGCAACGUUCACGCAUCCUCACCACCGCGACGACGUCGUCAACAGAGGAAACUUUCGGCGCGGCCACCUCGAGCUCCACCCCAAGCCCUGGAUCAUGGAGGCCCAUGCCGAGCACGAAGACAUGAAGCAUCACGUGCAGCUGAGCCUGGAGGGCGUCCCGCUGCAUGCCUGGAACUCCGACACGAUCAGCCGUGUCAUCGGCGUCGACUGCGAGCUGGACUAUGUCCUGCCCCGCUCCACGCGCCAGGAGGAUGCCAGGACGCUGGGCAUCUGGGCUUGGGCGACAAACCCAUGUGCCAUCCCGCGCGUCAUGCACCUCACGCUGCCGGCGAGGCGUGGCCCGCAGCGGGUGCCGGCACGGGGGAGGCGCCGUCUUCGAUACCGCGUCAUCAUCCACUUGGGCCUCCACGAGGACUUCUCCAACGUACGCGACNGCGACUCCAGAGCCAGCGCAGACAUCUACGAGCACACAUGGGUCCAUGGCAUCGUCGACGGCGACCGUGUGCCGACGGAGCGCCGGGAAGAGCCCCGGGACGACCUGGGGCGUGGACGGCGCCGCGACGACGAAGAUGACGAUGCCGCGCGUCGUGGACGCGGCGAGGCGCGCGAGCUUGACGGCCGGGGCUCGAGGUGGUUCGGCCGCAGCCGGUCUCGCGCCUCCCGUGAUGAGACUCGUGACCGCGGCGGCGACCAAGGCCGCGGCGCCAACGACGGUCGUGUGGGGCGCGAUGGCCAUCGCCGCCGGGGUUCUGCGGUGGAUUCUUCGGCGAGUCCAGUGCGCAGCCCUCGCGGCGGCUCUUCCCGCUGCACCCACCCCCUCGACGCGGCACGCUCCACAUCCCCAACAUCGGUUCUCCCAACCCCGCCGUCGCCUGUGGACGCGAUCACCCCGAGCUUCAGCAUCGCCCUGCAACUCCUGGCGCCCCUAUCGCCCUCUGCUGUGGUGGCCACGACAACUCCUCCACGUCCGCCUGGCUUUGAGGAGUCUCCGGCUCAGGUCACGCCUCCCCUGGCCUCCGGCGUGCUCGCUAGCCCCACCCCCUCGCCAGCGAGCAACUCCAACAACAUACUGGCGCCCCUCUUUGUGCUGCCAGAGGCUCCGAUCUUGCCUGGGCCUGUCCGUGCCCCGCCCGGGAACCGUGCAAACCGGAGAAAGACGAUGGCUGGCGUGGCCAUUGACCCGGGGUUCUCCCUGCGCCGCACCACUACUCAUGCCAAGGAGCGUCGUGUUGCUGUUCCGGUGACGAGGGAGGCCGAGAAGCUGGUUUGUCGGAGCCUCGGGAUAGUCCAAGAUGGCAAGGAUGUCACCAAAGACGCUCUGGAAGAGCUGAGUCGCCGCUUCCAGCACGAAUUGUCGCCCUCGGUUCUGUCCGCGCUCCGGGCAUUGUUCAAGCUCGACGACGACGAAGCCACAGCGAUUGAAGACGCCCUGAUCAGCCGCGGAGGUCAGGCUGCCAUGGACCACGAGAUUGUUGCUGCUGAUGCAACAGGAGAGGUCUGA